RNAcentral lists this transfer RNA (73 nucleotides) under Camelus bactrianus (Bactrian camel). It matches the Rfam family "tRNA". Rfam says of the family: Transfer RNA (tRNA) molecules are approximately 80 nucleotides in length. Their secondary structure includes four short double-helical elements and three loops (D, anti-codon, and T loops). RNAcentral also lists the same sequence under 1 other name. Lineage: Eukaryota; Metazoa; Chordata; Mammalia; Artiodactyla; Camelidae. The record is from Rfam by way of RNAcentral.
AAAGGUAUAGCUCAAAUGGUAAAGCACAUGUUUAGCCUGCAUGAGGUUCUGGGCUCAAUCCCCAGUACUUUCU